GGGGAGGCGGCCCGUGCGGAGCAGAGAGCCGGGGCUGGCGGGGGCAGCGAGGCGCGGGCGGCGGAGCGGCGGGAUGCGGCGCUGGCGGGGCGCGGGGCUGGCGGCGCUGGCCGCGGUGCUGCUCGUGGCUGCGGGCAGAGCCCAGGUGCAGCAGGAGCCGUUGGCACAAACCCCCGAGGGCACGGAAAUCACCAUCAACUGCUCACACCCGACCAUACGGACCAAUGACUAUAUCAACUGGUACCGUCAGCUCCCGGGCCGCGGCCCCAAAUUCCUCGUGAGCAUUCACAAAGGCUCCAGAGAUCUGCCGGACAAGGCGGGCCAGGUGUCGGUGUCGCCAGACCGUCGCUGGAGCACCCUCUGUCUCUCCGGGCCCCGUGUUGGGGACGCGGCGGUGUAUUACUGCGCCGUGGGAGACACGGCCAGAGGAGCCGGGGCUGCGGCCGGGCACGAACCGCCGCGGGCGGGGCCGGGCGGGGCCGGGGGCACAGCGCCGGCCGGGGCCAGCAGGGGCCGCUCCUGCACCUCCAGAUUUCUUUCUCAAACCAUGUCCCGCCUUCCUGGGCCCCCUUGUUUCAAAGGGCUGCUUUCCAAGGGCCUUUCCGAAUCGGUGUCCUCAACAGUCCCAAGUCCAACCUCCAGCAGUCGAGGGUACAGGUUUGAUUGA
Non-coding RNA from Pseudopipra pipra, 667 nucleotides. The record is from the annotation of a RefSeq genome assembly. Lineage: Eukaryota; Metazoa; Chordata; Aves; Passeriformes; Pipridae.